UCUCCUCUCUCUUCCUUGUCUAUCUUCCCAUUGCCCCCUCUCUCUUUCUCCGCUUCCUCUUCCCACUCUACCCCUCUUCUUGUUUCAUCACUUCCCUCAUUCUCCUCCUCUAUCUUUCCCAACUUUUUUUUUUCUUUUCUGUGGUUUCUUAUUUGCAUGCUUGAGCAGCCUUCUCCAUUGAAGAAACCCUAAGUCUAGUAGUUCGGGUUUCUUAUUUUUUGUUCCAAAUGAAACCCUCUUUUCCCCUUAUUUUAGCUCAGUUGAUGAAGUGAAAGACUGCGAAUGGGUUUGUCACUACUUUGAAUCUGGGGUUUUUGAUGACGUUAUUUCCUCUAUUCUAGAGGUGGAAAGAACUGGUGCCCGACGAUGACCUUCUUGCUAAUAAAUGUCUUUGGCUACGCUUAUUGUAGAGUUGUUGUUGGUUUCCGUUGGUGUUUCGACUUUUCUUUUGUAGUUUGUACUCCGAUUUGGCAAUUGUUUAGUUUUUUUCCUAGGGUUCCUACAUGGUACAUCUAUGUUCCUCGGUUUUAUUCGUUUUGAUCUGUUACUAAACAGGUACAGGAAAAAGUUUUUUAACCACUAUUUUCAUUUGGUUCACCUCUGUUUUUUGUAUUUUGGAACGUUUGGAAAUUUAAGAAAUUUUGCUAUUGUAUAUUUAUUUCACAUGUCAUUGCUUUAACCCUUGUUUAUGCAAUUUCUACAUAUUUAACAUGUUGGGGUUUCUGUUCCUCAAGUUAAAUCCAUGGAUCAUGAUUAGGUUUAUGCUUCAAAAAGGGCUUCUUCUUUCUGGCAUUCUAUUUAAUUGUUUGUUGCUUAUUUGAUUUGUGCUUUUACAAGGAGUAGCCAAUGGAUGCAUUAGGUUGGUUUGUGUUGGAGAUGGAGGUUGAAGGCUCACCAAUCCAUCCAUCAGCCGCCCAUGUCAAAUUGUCAAUUAUGUGACUGAUGAUUUAAGUUGAGGAGAAAGAGGGAACAUCUCCAUCUUUGGGCUUAGAGGUAGGUUCGUGGUUGGUGUGUUGAAGUCUUGCAUAAGUAUUGGAGGCAAACCCAUGGAGAGAAGCUUCAAGCUCGUAUAUGUGCUGACCCAUAGGGAAAACCAGUUAUGCACAAUGAAAACAAGAAGAAGCCGCAGGCUUAAUUUGGUUUUGUGAGUUGUGUUUUCCUGAACAAAUCCUAUCUUAUUCAUAGCUGAUGUUUUCAUUUUCUAUAGUGAAGUUGAAAGAGAGCUUGGGCUCUUGUUUUCCAAAGGAGGAAAAUGGAGAUCUGAAAUAGGAAAUAAGACUAAGCAAUCAAGAACUGGGACAAGGUUUCAGAUGCUUGUGGAGGAUAUCAGGGAGGGAGUGCUUGUAUUCGAAGAUGAGUAUGAGGCGGUCAAAUAUUGUGACCUACUACAGGGAGGAGGUCAAGGCAGUCACAACAUGUUCCAAUUACACGGUGGGAUGUUGCUGUGAGGUCGGUGUGAGGAGCGCUCUCUGAGAUGUGGCCAUUAGAUUAUAUUUGCUAAUUAAAUUAAUACUAAAAAAUUGUAGAAAAGAAUCCAAUGCGAUGUUGAUUAUAAUAUAUUGUUUAAGAUUUUUAUUACAAAUAAACUCCCAACUUGUCA
This is a long non-coding RNA of Nelumbo nucifera (sacred lotus), 1600 nucleotides long. RefSeq lists it as uncharacterized. NCBI's taxonomy places the organism in Eukaryota, Viridiplantae, Streptophyta, Magnoliopsida, Proteales, Nelumbonaceae. The record is from RefSeq and is a predicted model, not a curated record.